UCAGGCCUAACACAUGCAAGUCGAGCGGUAACAGGGGUAGCUUGCUACCCGCUGACGAGCGGCGGACGGGUGAGUAAUGCUUAGGAAUCUGCCUAGUAGAGGGGGAUAGCCCGGGGAAACCCGGAUUAAUACCGCAUACGCCCUACGGGGGAAAGCAGGGGAUCUUCGGACCUUGCGCUAUUAGAUGAGCCUAAGUCGGAUUAGCUAGUUGGUGGGGUAAAGGCCUACCAAGGCGACGAUCCGUAGCUGGUCUGAGAGGAUGAUCAGCCACAUCGGGACUGAGACACGGCCCGAACUCCUACGGGAGGCAGCAGUGGGGAAUAUUGGACAAUGGGGGAAACCCUGAUCCAGCCAUGCCGCGUGUGUGAAGAAGGCUUUCGGGUUGUAAAGCACUUUCAGUGAGGAGGAAGGCCUUGUCGCUAAUAUCGGCAAGGAUUGACGUUACUCACAGAAGAAGCACCGGCUAA
RNAcentral lists this ribosomal RNA (467 nucleotides) under uncultured Gammaproteobacteria bacterium. RNAcentral describes it as "bacterial SSU rRNA". It matches the Rfam family "Bacterial small subunit ribosomal RNA", at positions 42 to 500 of the family's 1533-position model. Lineage: Bacteria; Pseudomonadati; Pseudomonadota; Gammaproteobacteria. The record is from RNAcentral.